Molecule: long non-coding RNA, 1376 nt
Organism: Papaver somniferum (opium poppy)
Lineage: Eukaryota; Viridiplantae; Streptophyta; Magnoliopsida; Ranunculales; Papaveraceae
Exons: 2
Source: RefSeq, a predicted model, not a curated record
UCCUCCUCCUCCUCUGUUCAUGUUGCUGACUAAAAUUUGUGAAACAAAUUCGAGAUUUGGUGACCGUAAUAAGAAAGAAUUAUCAAGGAUCGAUUAUCAGUGGUGAAGAUAGUUCUAUAAUUGAAUUAGAUUCAGAAGAAUUAAUGUUCAUAGAGAUUCAGUGAGUUGGGGUUUAUGGAUUUGAAGAGCUUCGCAUGGAACUGAUAAUAAUGAUUUCUAGUUAGUAAUCGAUGAAGAUCGAAUGGGUUGAUGUUGUUUUUGUAAUAUGAAGUUGUUAUGAAGAUGAAUCGAAGAAUGAAAGAGUUAGGGUUUCAUAAAGGAAAUUCAGGGAAGGUUCAAAAGAUAGAAUUGAUGUUCAAGAGGGAUGAUUGAAGAUGGGUUUUGUGUAUUGAACGUAAAGGAGCAGAGUUAGUAUCUGAUUUUCGAUUCACAGAAAAUAAUUGAUAAAUUAGGAUUUCGUUCUUGAAUAUUGUGGAUAAGGAGAAAUUAUAAGAUGGGUUUUCUUGGGUUGAGAAUUUGUGUUGGUGUUGUGAAAUGGAAUUAGGGAAAAGAGGAUUGAGAAUCAUUUUAGGAUUUUCUGUGAGUUGUAACUGUUGAGGAAUUAUUGGAGAUGGGUUUGAUAUCAAUUAGGGUUUGGAUUCGAAGAAUAACUCGAGAUGGAUAGUUAAGGUUUGAAUAGUUGUUAUGAAGUUAUUGAAUCUGAAUCAGAUGGAGGUUGAGCAGCUAUGAAGGAUUACGACUUGGGUUUAAAGGAGAGAGUUGCAGUUUAGAUUUGAUUUGUAGUUGGUGGUGUUAAACUAAACUGAGUUGGAGUUUUGCAGUUGGAAAUGAUAUUGGUGGAGACAAUGAAGAGAUGGAAGAGAUGUUGGUGUUUUAGAUAAGUGUUUACAGGUUGAAUGUAAUUAAGAUUUGAACUGAGUUUGAGUGAGGCUCUGAGAGUUUGUAAACGAGUUAUUCAACUGAAGUUGCAAGUGAUUGAUCUGUUGGAUGAAUUGUGGUGGAUAUGGUGUUAUGAGUUGUUGGUGCUGAAAUGAAAGUACAGGUGAUGGGUUUAUUUGUGUUGAGUUUGAAUUGCAAUUGGGUUUGAGUUGUAAAAUUGUUGUUUGAGAAUUCUGUAAUACAGUUGAAAUGAUAGUGAUGUUACAGAGAUAAUGCAGAAUUGAGUUUGGUUCAGUUCAACUAAUGGAAGUUCUGUUUAGCAUGGGUGUGUCGCGGUUGAAGCUGAAAUGGCAGUGUUGUUGAAAUGAGAAUUAAGUGAAUGUGCUGGGUUGAGUCUCUAUUGAAAGUUUUCAGCUACUUAAAUUGCAUGUAAGCUUGGUUAUUGUAAAUGAAAUUUGAAGUAUUUUUUAAUGAAUGAAAUGUAUUUUGAUUCUAUG